RNAcentral lists this long non-coding RNA (554 nucleotides) under Anser brachyrhynchus (Pink-footed goose). Its description in RNAcentral is "lncRNA (ENSABRG00000002356.1)". The record is from RNAcentral. Lineage: Eukaryota; Metazoa; Chordata; Aves; Anseriformes; Anatidae.
AUGAACUGCCUGAACAGGCUCCCAGCAGGGGCACCAGCGUCAGCACCAAGUGUAGGGUGCAAACGUGGAGGCAGAGCUUGGAAGCCACGACUGGCUAAGCUGCUGUCUCGGCACACUGCCAGCAAGCCUGGGGAACGGAGCAGCACAGAGGACAGUGAACCAAAUUUAGAGGCAGAAGCACUGGAAGCGCACAAGUGGAAACAAGGUUGGAAAAUGUGGGCUAGGAGAUACUCACACAAACAUUCAUGCUACAGUGAGAAAGGCCUACACUACAGUCUGAGGACAGACCACAGCAAAGGGUGAGAGGUGCAAACAUGGAACCAGCCUGCACCAGUUACUUUAAUCCAUUUGUACUGUGCAUAUGUAGAGGAAUGAAGAAAACAAACCAAACAAACAAACAAACAAACACCACCCUGGCAUCAGUAUAUCUUUAGCAGCAGAAUAUGACUGGCUGAGUAAGCUGUGGAACACCAGAUAAUUGCCCAGGGAUUCCUCCUCCCAGAAGGAUUCCUCUCUCUAGUCAUGAGAAUAAAGCUCAAAGCACAGUGUAAACA